UAAUGGCUUAAAGAUAGGAGUGGGU
RNAcentral lists this non-coding RNA (25 nucleotides) under Mus musculus (house mouse). Lineage: Eukaryota; Metazoa; Chordata; Mammalia; Rodentia; Muridae. The record is from RNAcentral.